UACGUAGGGAGCAAGCGUUGUCCGGAAUCAUUGGGCGUAAAGCGCGCGUAGGUGGCCACAUAAGUCCGUUGUGAAAGUCAAAGGCUCAACCUUUGAAAGCCGAUGGAUACUGUGUGGCUAGAGUACGGAAGAGGCGAGUGGAAUUCCUGGUGUAGCGGUGGAAUGCGCAGAUAUCAGGAGGAACACCAAUAGCGAAGGCAGCCCGCUGGGACGUUACUGACACUGAGGCGCGAAAGCGUGGGGAGCGAACAGG
This 253-nucleotide ribosomal RNA is filed under the name uncultured bacterium. RNAcentral's name for it is "partial 16S ribosomal RNA". It matches the Rfam family "Bacterial small subunit ribosomal RNA", at positions 524 to 776 of the family's 1533-position model. The record is from RNAcentral.